RNAcentral lists this long non-coding RNA (16266 nucleotides) under Glycine max (soybean). Its description in RNAcentral is "long non-coding RNA (GMAX_LNC002698)". Lineage: Eukaryota; Viridiplantae; Streptophyta; Magnoliopsida; Fabales; Fabaceae. The record is from RNAcentral.
CAUUCCAAGAAACCUAGAUGGAUUCCAAGUUGUCAAGAAUCUGAACUAAAGAAAGUAGAGAACAUGGAGUAAAGAGAAAGAGAACUUUGGCAGAGAAGACUAUCCAAUCUCAUUAUUAAGCAAGAUUCACAUAUACACCAGUAUUUAUAACUUUAGGGGGAAGACAGAAACAACUGACAAAUACUAACUAAUAAAAUCUGAAACUAACUCUUAACAGAAAUAACUAACUGCCUGAUCACGACUUAACAAAGUUAUCAAUAAGAAAAAGGAUGACAUAAAUAUAAUCUCCAACACUAGCUAAUCAUAACCUAUAUAAAUUAUUUUAUAUAGUACAUGUACAUGACCUAAAGUUUAUUUAUAUCUCCUAGGUGAACCAAAGAAAAGUGACAUAAAUGUGAAGCAAUACUUACAAACUCCAUGGUACGGCGAGUUCCUUCAACAACAAGAUUUGUCAUGUUACCAAUCAAGUAAGCUGUUAGGCCAAGGUUAAAGAGCAUGUAGAAAAUAAUGAAGAUCAUUUCUAGGGUGUUGACGGCGUGGAGGUCACCAUAACCUACAGUGGUCAUGGUAGUGAUGGACCAGUACAUGGCCGAAAUGUAUCUGAUCCGAAGGCUUGUCUCUCGGAAGUUUGGGUUCACAGCUCCAAUCCAUGUCUUUCCUUGGUGGGGGUAACGAUCAGCUAGCAUGUAAUAGAGACAACCAGCACAAUGAAUUGAAAAAAGUGUUACCUGCACCAGAUUUCAUAUAAAUGUUUCAAUAUUUUGUAUUUCAAAAAUAAUAUGUGAUUUGUCUAGUCGAAGCUAAAUGUUUUUGUAUGUGGGUGAGUGUGUCUUCCAUUUUCUUAAGUGCAACAUUUCAAAGAAAUAAAAAUAAAGUCAUUUUGGCAGCAAAUAGUAUUUUGUAAGCAUUGGCAAAAUCCUGAAAAAUGAGGAGUUUUAAUGAAAGAAUAUAGCAGAUGUUUAUUGACUAAAGCAUAUAGUGAAAAUAUUUUUGAAAUAGGAGUGAAAUGAAAUAUGACAUACAGAAAGAAGCCUAGCACAUCGGACCCAGAAAUAGCUGAACCUGAUGUCUUUCUCAAGCCUGGCAAAUGAAUGCAGCUAGAUCAAUUUUAACAUCGUAAUAAUGGUACUAAAGUGGAUUGAUUAUUAUUAGAAAAAGAAAGAUGGAAAACCUUGUGAAGUAUUGCUUGACCCGUCUGAUUCUCCAAAAUCUAAACAGACCCAAGAGGAAGUAUGGGAGACCCAAUUUCCGUUUGCCAGUGAACAAAUAUCCAAUUGCCUCGUAUGGUAUAGUUGAUGCCAAAUCCAUCACGAACCAUGUAGACAAGUAUCUACCACGUUACUAACACUAUCUUAAUUAGUUUUACUUUACUGCAUAUGUAUAUAAUUUGGACAAACUUAGCAAAACAAGACCACCUUAGUCACAUAGUCUAAAUUUGUAAAAAUACAAUUAGAUGGCACUUGCUUAUAAGAGGAGUGCUAGGUAUAUACCCUGUUUCUUAUUCCUUUGUUCCAGGUGAUUAUUUACUCUUCCAACUCUUAGCUUCUCUUUGAAUAUGGAAAAAAAGAUACUAUUCAAAUUACGCAAGAAAUGUGUUCAAUAUGAAUUAUUAAAUGCCAUAUGACACGAAAAAAAUUGUAUGAAAACACAGUAAUUUCAAUUUUCAAAUCAAACAACAGGCAAUGCAUGAUUCAAAGGAGAGUGAAAAAGAUAUGCAUAAUUUCGUACCAUUUAUCAAUUUUCAUAUUUAAAAAGAAAUUUUUUGUAUUGUGAAACUAGUAGUGAUGUUAUUCAAUAGCUUACGUGAUAACAUGCAAGAGUAUGACUAAGUUUACGUAAAUAUUAUUGCAUUCUUAAUUUCCUUGUCAUAUGGGUUUGGCAAUUAUCCCAUUUGGGAUGAAUUAGAGUAGAAAGAAAAUGAGAUGAAAGAAAAAAUAUAAUAAAUAUUUUUCAUGCAAAAUUAUGAUAUCUCAUAGCUUCAUACUAUUCACACCUCCUUUUUUUUAAUUCAUCAUCUUCCAGAAUUAUUAUCUCUUAUGUAAGAGGAGUGCUAUAACAUAUUUUUAUAUUGAUUAAAAUUUAUUAAAAAUUAUACCAUCAUUAGAGAAAUUUACUAAAUAAAAUAUGAAACUCUACAUAACUUUUUGAUUUUUAAUAAAUUUUAACCAACAUCAGAGGAUGUAUUUAAAGAGUGGAUUAAAAGAUGUUUUGUUAGCAUUUCUCCUUCUAUAAAUAUCAUGUAACACUCGUUGUCUCUUUACUUCCGGAAACCCUCUGAUUCUUAGUUUCUGCCCUAGUCCCUACCUCACUCCUGUCCCUUUGGAUUUGUCAUCCCUCCUCAUUUUAUUUCUCUUUUUCUUUGUGGCUUGAGGUCGUUUUGUCUCCUUUAAUACUUUUCUUCUUCUCAUUUUACAUAGAUUAUUUGUUUUUCUACAACUGGUCUGUGAGUCAAACAGGACUUGGGAAACAAAACUCUGAAAUGUAAAUCUCAGUUUCAAAAACAAAUUUCUAAUUUUAUUUUUUUCAUGUUUCAAACAAUUCCGAAAAUCAUUCCUAUUUUCAUGCUUUUGAAAUUUCAACUCCAGAAUAAUAAAAUCAAACUCAUAUAUAAGAGUAUGUACCAGAAAAAACUGAUAUAUAAGAGUAUAGUCAAAAUACAAUUUUACCAAAAAUAAUUUAAAAGUGUGAAUAGGAACAGAAAAUGAUACAAAAAGCAAUCAAUCACCAAUUCUGAUUGCUUUAAAUACUGGACCCAACAACUAAAUUGGGCUGUCCCGUUUUUGACUUUCCAGUAUCUACUCAUUUAUUUUAUGGUACUUGGACCUGGCCAAUAUUUUGGUGAUAAAACUGAACCAGAUGUCCGUUAUCUAGAAAGCAAUAAUCACUCAAUAUUAUUAUAACAAAAACUUUUAUUGGGUUGAAUUUGAUUGAUUAUUCAAAACCGACCCCUGAAAAGUUUGGUCUAACACAAAUCAAAGUUAUCAAACUUAGGUGGAAAUUAGGCCCCGCGUUUGGAAACGAAAUCAGAUCAGAAUUAAUCCCUCAUGCUUGCUUCGGGAGAGAGAAUAAUAUGUUGUGCCAAAUCAAGUUCUUCCCGUGUUAAGAUAAUAUUAAAUAGUGUGGUGAAUGAACUUUAUUAUUAUUAUUAUUAUUAUUAUUAUUAUUAUUAUAUUGGAAUAAUAACACUUUUACUUUAUAUUGUUGCACUCAAAUUCUUUAGAAUUAUAAAAUAGUAAAAUUGUUUAAAGAUAGAUAGCUGAAGACAUGUAUAAAUAAAUUAGUAGUUUCUUUUUGUUUGUCCUGAUCUAGACCGAGGGAACCACCACUAUAAAUAUGAUCCAAUUAAGAGGCAAAUAAAUAAUUAAUUAGCAGUUAUUAGUUGCCAAAGUUUGGUUUUUGCAACAGAUUAUAACUAACCUCACUACAAUCUUCUUCUUGUCUCGAACUAGUAGAUGAGUGGUUCGAUCAAUGUAAGCCACGAAGAAUGUCAAAACAAUAUCAAUACCGAAGAAAAGAUCAACAACACUGUCCGCAAUGUAGAUUUUCAUAUUAGAAGACUUGUGCAUGAAAGCAACUUCAAAGGGAUACACCCAUGCAGAAUAAGCUACCAGAAGAACCAUAAAACUCUCCCAACACCUGCACAUAUAUCCAACCAAAAUGAAAAUUUUAAGCCCCUCAAAUUUGUAAUUAAAUAUAUAUUUGCUUCAAAUUAAGGAAGUACUAUAAAGAAUUAAUCAAGUUAAAAGCUUAAAAUUUUAAGUAAAGAACUUCAAAAUAAAAAAAAUAAAAAAAAUUCUCUAACAAGUUCAUAUCAUAUUAAUUGGGCAAUAAACAUUAAUCAGAAGGCACCUAUAUAUAGCAGUGUUAGGAAUUCACCUAGAGAAACACACACGUACGGUUUUUCCAAAUCGGGGUCUUAAUUAAUUAGUGGUAAGGUAAUAAGUGUACCUGUAUCUGGAAUCCAUUGGUGAUAUGAUCCAUCCUUUUGAGUUAACUGGAUUCUGGCUUGAAACACCCAGUGGGGGAAGAAUGAGCUUUGAAAUAUUCCGCAGAUUGAAAGAGGGAGACAUAUAACCUUCUUCAUUGAGAUGAUGAUGCUCCCCUGAAUGAUUAUACUCUUGCUUACUGUAACUUUUCUUAGAGCUAGAGGCAAGUUGAGGAUUGUAUAAAGAACUGAAGUUCAUCCCCUCCAUUCUACUUCUACAGUUAAGACAAAAUUGUUGGUUGGUGGAUUUUCAGAAAGACUAAGGAGGGAGGGAUAUAGAGAAAGAGGUAAGAGUAGAUUCUAAUUAAGAAAAAUGCUUGUUAAAGGAGAAUAGUCAGAAAGGGCAAGCUCAACAUAUAAGGAGCAAGAGCUUUUAUGAUGAUGAUAUUAUUGUGGAUGUAUGUAGGAGAGUUGGCAGUAUAGCAGUAAUGAGGAAUGGUGACCCAAGAAAAUGAGGUCUUGAUGAUAGCGAAUAAUUCCAAAUUCUAAUGGUAUAGCUACUUACAGUUCGUUAUGUUUUAUGUGUUUAUAUGUUAGAAAGCUGCCUUAAUUUUGGUCAUUUUUGACUGGCCUUAAUUGUGACAUGUUUAGUUGCCAAUGUUUCUCAAAAGAUUAAUUAUCUAAUCAGAAAGACUAAGUGAAAUAUCAUCAUAGUAUAAUCUUUUUUACCGUACAAAUCGAGUUUCUAGGAUUGAGUCAAGUUUUAACCUCAAAUUCUCAGAUUAUAUGAGAUAAAACCACUUUGAAGUAAAAACGUGGGGUAUUAUCAGGACUGUGUGGUGCAAGAUCCACGUACUUCGUGCGCAUUCCUCUCUCUUUCCUUCUUCCUUCCCCCCUCUUGUAUAAUAUUGUAACAUCAUUUUCUGAUGUUACAUAUUUGGUUGACAGGUUCCAAUAAUAUUAUAAACUUUUAGGAAAAACACGUAGAAAGUUUUUGACCAGCUACAAAUUAUUGUGGUUAGAAAGGUAAAGAAUCAUGACAUCCACGUGCAUUGCUAGAAUUUUGAAUUUCUGUGGUUUGUAUCUUGGCAUGAUGUAAGUAAAAAAAAUUAAAAAGGUAAUUUCUCUUUGUUGUUAUUAUUACUAUAACUUUUGAAACUUUGGGGUUUUGUACACUCAAAUUUUGACUGCAAUUAAAAAUUAAAUAAAAAACUUUUGGAUUGAGUUAGCUUUAAACUUGAAUAUUUUUUAUUCUGAAAUUAAAAAUGUGAAGAAAUCAUACUUCUAUACAAUAUCUUAAUUGAAUUGUAUGUAAUGAUCAAUAAAUUUAGUCUCAUUAAUUGGCCCGCUGGAACUAAGCUACGUACGUACUGCCUCUGCAUUUAAUUGUACGACUCCAACACAUGUAAAUUGGUUGGGUCGUUUGAUAUGCUAAUUAAUGGUAAUUGGUGACUUGGUGCAUCAUUAGUGAUGAAUGGGUUAAUUAAUAAGAUCUGCGAAAUCGUUUUGGCACAUUUCUUAGAGAUAAAAGAGAUGUUAAUCACCAAAAAAUAAGAAAGAAAGAAAAUAUUGGUAACGUUUGUUGAAUUUGUGCACGGUAUCACAACCAUGUUUAACUAAUUAGUCACCUCAUCUUCCAAUUAGAAAUCCGUGUAUAUGUAGUGUUUAACAUGUGUUAGUGAUUAAUUUGACUCGCGGGAGUUCGCAUGCAAGAAUAAGAACACAGGUAACAUAUAUAUAUAUAUAUAUAUAUAUAUAUAUAUAUAUAUAUAUAUAUAUAUAUAUAUAUAUAUAUAAUUUUCUGCAGAUUUGAUUCAAGGUUUUUAAUAAUGUUAUGCAAUUAAUGUUAAACUGUUAUGUAUAAUAAGAUUGGGAGCUUUUAUAAUAAAAAUUAUAUUUUAGGGUGAUUUCUAAUUGGUGUAUGAAAAUUAAUCUAAAUUUUUUACACCUCCAAAAAAAAAAAACCUAGGACGCUUGUUCUCGAGUCAAAUAACAAGAGUCAACCGUAAUAUACUCACCAUCAUGACCAUGAAUAUGGUAGAAAGAAAAAAAAAAACACAACUUUAUUCUCGUUGAGUUUCAAGCCAAAAGAUAAGGUGCAUAUACAUUUGAAUUAAAUUUUUAUUACUAAGGUUUAGGUGACUUAAAUGCAAAGUGGAAGAUUACAUUUUACUAAAUAAACCUUAGUUAAAUGGAUGCAUUGAAAGUUAUUUUUGUUUCAACUUUCAAGAUAGCUUAUUUAUUAUAGUUGGUGACAAUCUUCACUACAAAUAGAGAAGAAAAUUAGUGAAGACAAAUAACACAUGAAGAGAGUGUGUGUGUGUGAAGAGAGAUUGUGAAACAAAGUCACUUUGUUGAGAGAAAAGUGUCUUUGUGUGAGAGUGUUAUCAUUUCUUGUAACCAUUAAGUGGGCUACUCGGGUUUGUAGAGUGAUACACUAUUUUGGGUAAGUUACAAUCUUGUAAUCAUUUUGUGAUAGUGAAAUACUUUUUGAGUUGAUUCCGUGGACGUAGGCAAGAGGUGUCGAACUACGUUAAAUUCUUGUGUUUGUUAUUAUUUUUCUUACAGUGUAAUCUUUGUUGUAUUCUCACGAUCUUUUGUGGGAGUGAGUAAUUUUAUUUGUGAGAGCGUUGAUUUCCCAACAGUGGUAUCAGAGCUAUGGCCGGGAGCACACAAAGGUUUGAGAUACCGUUGUUUGAUGGAAAAAUAAAUUUUAUGAUUUGACAGAGUAUUAUUCAAGACCUGUUGGUGCAGCAAGGUCUUGAUCGGGCAUUAGAAGAUGAAAGACAGGCUUCUAUAAAUGAAAUCGAGUAGACUAAGAUCCAAAGGAAGGCUAUGAGCACGAUUCACUUAGCCCUUGCUCCCGAGAUAAAACAUAACGUGUUUAAGGAGACAACACCGAAGGCCUUGUGGGAGAAGCUCAAGAAUAUUUAUGCAUCAAAGUCGCUAACCAAUUGCCUCUAUUUGAAGAUGGAGUUAUAUCGACUCAAAAUGGAGAUGGGAGGAGAUCUCCAUGACCACAUCAACAAGUUCAAUCAAUUAAUAAGUCAAUUGUUGAAUACAAAUGAUAAACUCUCUGAUGAAGAGCAAGCGUUGUUGUUGUUGGCCUCACUACCAAGGUCCUUCAAAGUUUUGGUCCAAACAUUGCUUGUGGGAAGAUCAACUUUGAAUUUGGAUGAGGUGACUACAGCUCUUAGAGAAAAUGAGAGAAUGAUGAGAACUGAAAAUGUUGAUGAUGAACACAAUGCAAUAGUUGUGGUGGAGUUUAAGCGGGGGAGAAAUCAUUCAAGGAGACAUGAUGGGCCAAGAGGAAUAUCAAAAUUGUAAUUGCGUCCGCAACGAGAUAUGAGUAACAUACAAUGUUACUAUUGCGGUGAGAAUGGUCAUAUGCAAGAUGAUGUGUUUUUGGCAACAAAUGACGAGAUCGCUAAAACAAAAUGGGUGAUGGAUUCUACUGCCUCAAAGCAUAUUUGCAAAGAUCGAGAGAUGUUUGAUACUUUAAAAACUGAUGGAGAAUUCAGCCAUUUUAAGUUAAGGAAUGGUGGAAAAAUGAAGGUUGAAGGCAUAGGAAGUGUGAGGAUGAAGCUCCAUGAUGGUACUAUUCGAACUUUCUCAAAUGUGAGGUUUGUACCUUUUGUUGUUAUUAAUAUGAUUUCUAUGGGGGAAAUGACAUCUUAGGGGUACAAAUAUGUUGAUUCAAAGUGGGGAUGCAAAGUGUACAAGGGGAGACACUUGGUGUUGCAAGGACAGAAAAAUAAAGGUAACAUUUGUUAUUUGGAUGGUCAAGUCUUGAAGAGGAACCAUGAUAGCAAAGUGAAGAAAAAAGUGAAGUUUUCUAAUGUUGUGAAAGUGUUGGGAGAUACUUUCGUUGGAGGGAGAGUUUGUUCACUUUCAAAUUAAUUGAAGGAUAUUUCUCUUUUGGCUUGAGGGAGAGAAUUAUGGAGUUUCAAGCCAAAAGAUAAGGUGCAUGCACAUUGGGAAUUAAAUUUUUAUCACUAAGGUUUAGGUGACUUAAAUGCAAAGUGGAAGAUUGUAUUUUACUAGAUAAGCCUUAGUUGAAUAGAUGCAUUGAAAGUUGUUUUUGUUUCUACUUCCAAAAGAACUUAUUUAUUAUAGUUGAUAACAAUCUUCAUUAUAAAUAGAGAAGAAAAUUAGUGGUAAAAAACAACACAUGAAGAGGGAGUAUGUGUGAAGAGAGAUUGUGAAACAAAUCACUUUGUUGAAAGAAAAGUGUCUUUGUGUUAGAGUGUUAUAAUUUCUUGUAACCAUUGAGUGAGAUACUUGGAUUUGUAGAGUGAUACACUAUUUGGGGUGUGUUAAAAUUUUAUAAUCAUUUUUGUAAUAGUGAAAUAUUUUUUGAGUUGGUUCCAUGAACGUAGAUAAGAGGUGUCGAACCAUAUUAAAUUUUUGCGUUUGUUAUUAUUACGGUGUAAUCUUUGUUGUGUUCUCACGAUCCUUUGUAGGGGUAAGUAAUUUUAUUUGUAAGAGCGUUGAUUUCCCAACAACUGUGAAGAGUUCUUUGAUGUUGUGUUGCAUCUACUACCUUUUGCAUAAUUUCUACUAUAUGUUUCAAGCAUAGAACAAAUAAAGUAAAAAAAAAAAAGUUAUGAAUUAAUUAGGGACCGAGGAAGCAUGAUCUUCUUCCGUGGUUACAAUGAUUUUUGAGGAUAAAUUUCACCACAACCACUCGCAUGGUUCUCUAUUAAUAUUUCUUUGUUCUUUUUUUCCUCAAAGAAAUGGAUUGCAUGAAGACAAGUUAGUCACGUAAGUAUUGUUCCAGUUAUUUUGAUAAGAUAUGGCGAUCGAAUCCAUCAACAAUGACAAUUGAAAAAUGAAAUUCAUUCUCCACUUUCUUUGGAACCUUCUUCCAACUUCACAAACCAUGAAAAUGGUGUGUGCAUGCGCGAACUCGGAUUUUUUUCAGGGCCACGUCUUCAGGUUUUUGUCUAAGAAAUAAAUUAAAAAAAGGUAAACGAUUAAUUAAAAAAUAUUAACUUUUUUAAAACUUUCUUAAAAUAGAAUAUAUUGAUUAUUGAGAAAAAAAAUUAUAUACCGACCACGUAAAUCCAAUCACACUUUAUUAUGAUAAGGUUGGUGAUUUUUAUAAUAAUUAUAUUAAUGAUAAAUUGUAAUUAAACAAUAAUAUAAAAAUAUAAGUACUUUUCUGAUUAAAUUCUUGAUUAUAUAAGUUGAUGAAGAGUUUAAUUAAAAUAUGUGUAAAUAAUUUUAUACUAUUAAUUAAGAGUUUUAUAUGUGGUAAGCCAAUUGACUUUUGUGAUAGUUGUUGUUAAAAUUAUAAGAAAUUAAAUUCUUGUAUGAAAAUUUUACGGAUGCUUUUUUAUUAUUAUUAAUUAUUAGUAUAUGCUGUGAUAUAUAAAUUAAGGUAGAAAGUACAAUCGGAAUCGCAUUGGCUUAUCUUGGUAGGGACAUGUCAUAAACUCACCAAUCAGAAUUCGUAAACUAACCGACAUAAUAUCACGAAAAACCAUACAUAGCUUUGUGAUGAACUGAUUAUGAUGAUUUAGAAGAAAAAUAUAUAAUAACGUUACACGCCUUUUAAAACACGUUAUUUUAUUUUACAACUUAAAAAAAACUGUACCUUAUUAUCUCAUCACAAAUUCACAACUAAUUUUAUCUUUUUUUUUUUACAUAACUAUGUCUCAUAAAAAAUAUAUGAUGAAGUAUGGCUUCUAUAUUAAACAUGUACCUAACGCUUUUAAUAAAAGAUAAAUAAUAUGAAUUUAGCACUUGAUCCUACUCUUCCACGAUAACAAUGGGAAUAAAUGAAAAAUAUAUACCAUUAUCAGAGUUGAAUUCUUUAUCCAGAAAAUACAAUAAAAACAAAAAAAAUACACAAAGAAUACAUGUUUGAAAUUAUUUACCAAAAUGAUACGGCUUAGUGCUUUUAAAUUUUAAAAAUGAUACGGCUUAACAUGUUGUAUUGCUGUAAUGUUGAUCAAAUUUCAUGCAAUUUAUUUUAAUUAAAAUAUUGUAGCUUACAAAUAACUUUUUUAACAACUGUUAAAUUAUUGGAUUUUUAACAUGUUUAAAUCUUUAUUAUAGAUUAAUGAUACAAAUUUCAAAAUUCAAUAUAUCCUGUCAACUGUUAUUUAUUGAUGUGAAAUGGGUAUCUCAGUGACCGAUUGAAAGGCGCGUCAUGCCUGGCUCUGCCGACACCCACUACUGUACUAGUGUUUUAACUUUUCAAUGAAAACAAAUUAGUAAGUUGGUGAUUAAUUUCUCUCUUUAUUAAUUUAUUGGAGAAAGCAACAUCGUUUUCACUAUGCAUUGCCUAUUCGAAACCCAUUACUUGUGUAGAGAGAAGACCGUGGACUAAGGGGAAUAAUGAUCACCACUAUCACUAGGUUGAUUUGAACCAUGUUAUUUUUGUUCCCCAAGUGAACUUAAUUCAACCUUGAUAAUACGGUACUAAAUAUCUCUUUUGCACUCAAGUUUAAGUUUAUUCUGUAUUCUUUGUUCACAUCAUAGUACUAGUAAAUUGUGUGUGUCUAUCUUCUUAAUUAGGAUUGAGCCAGUAUAUUGUGAGUAAAGGAGAAGAAGAUUGAGUGCCUUGUUUCGAGGUUAAGGUCUCUUUUAUGGGUUAAAGCUUUUUCUUGAUAAUAUUCUUUGGUUUUAUUCAUUUCGUGCAAGGUCUUAUAUACAGCGUUUUCCAUGCAUGCACCUUAUACAUAACUACUUACAAGCGGUUACAACAAACUAACGGCCCUUUAACUAACUAACGGCCAUGCUAAGCUUAUUCACACGUAGUCAUCUAAAUGUUUGGGUCUCGAGACGUUCCUCUUUGGCCUUUCUGCACGUGCUCCUUCAUUCACGGUGUUUGCUGCACUAGUGGCUCUAUCAUCAUCCCCCCCCCCCCUUGGAAAAAUCACCUUGUCCUCAAGGUGGUGGGAUCUGCAAAUGUCAUCCCACUUUUCCCAGGUAGAUUCCUCAGGUGCUAAGCCAAUCCAUUGUACUAAAACUAACUGAGUUGAGGGGUCAGUAGAAGGAUCCAUACGUGAAUUAAGGAUGGUCAAGGGCUUCAAUAUGGGCUGGUUUUGAAUUGUGUCUGGUGGAAGGGCGGAGACUGGUAGUUCCAAGGGGCCAUGGUGGGGUCGUAACAUGAAACAAUGGAAAACCGAAUGGAUCUUAGACGCUUUUGGAAGUUGUAAUCGAUAUGCUACCUUACCAAUGCGUUCGAUGAUGGGGAAUGGUCCUAAGUAACGUUUGGCAAGCUUGUUAGGUGACUGGUCCUGCAGGGAAAGCUGGCGAUGAGGACGAAGGCGGACGUAAACCAUCUGCCCUUCUUCGUACUGAACAUCUCGACGUCUCUUGUCCGCGAGAAGUUUCAUAUCUUCUUGAGCCUUUAGAAGUUUCCUUCUGAGUGCAGCGUGAACGACUCCCCGUGUGACUAACAUUGUAUCAACUGCAUCGUUGCGGGAAGAGCCCUUGAGGUAGUCUAAGACCGAAGGAGGAGGCUUGCCGUAGACGACCUCGUAGGGGGUGAACCCCGUGCCGGAAUGCUGCGAUGUGUUGUAUGACCAUUCAACUAAGGCCAGAAACUUGUACCACUCAGCUGGGUUUCGAUGAACGAAAGAAUGAAGAUAUUGUUCAAUCAUGCGGUUCAUCACUUCGGUUUGGCCAUCCGUUUGUGGAUGGUAAGUCGUGCUCAUGCGUAAAGUUGUGCCACUUAACCGGAAAAGCUCCCGCCAGAAGGAGCUGACCAAAAUGGGGUCUCUGUCGGAGAUGAUGCUACGAGGGAACCCGUGUAGCUUGCAUACGAUAUUGAGGAAGAGAUUGGCCACCUUGAAUGCUGUAUAGUGGGAAGGUAGAGCUCCAAGGUGGACUCCCUUGGAGAACUUGUCGACAACGACGAGGAUAGCUGUGAAUCUCUGAGAGCUUGGGAGAUGAGUUACGAAAUCCAUGGAGAGGUCUUCCCAGAUACCCGAAGGUAUCAAAAUGGGUUGUAAGAGGCCAGCACUUUUGCGCAUGAUGGGUUUCACUUGCUGACAGGUGUUGUAGUUGCGGACGAAAGUCUUAACGUCUCUGAGCAUGUUGGUCCACUGAAAGUUGGAACGAAGGUGGUGGAACGUCUUCUUUACGCCGAAGUGGCCUGCGAGUGGAGCAGCAUGAUACUCAUGCAAUAAUGCCGGAAUGAAUGGGUUCUGUGCAUCAAUCCAAAUUGCACCUUUGAAUAGAACGAAAUCACCUAAGAUGGAGAAGUCAGGGUGAUCUGCAGGGGCAACUUGGAUCGCUUCACGUUGCUUUUGGAACUCUGGGCUGCUUGAUAAGGAUUGCUUCAGCUGAAGCAUGAACUCAUGGUGAGGGACUGAGAGGACGAGGCACUGUCCUUGAGUUGAAUCACUCACAUGUGAGAGGGAGUCAACAACCACAUUUGAGGUACCUGCCUUGUACUGGAUAUCGUAGUCGAACCCGAGCAGCUUGGCUAAGUAGAACUGCUGCUCCGGGGUCUGGAUGGUCUGAGAUACGAGCUCACGGAGGCUACGAUGGUUCGUAAAAAUGGUGAACCUGUGACCCAGUAGAUACUGCCUCCAUUUGCGAACGGCGGCAACGAUGGUGUGUAGCUCGCGGACUUACGCAGAUGCAUGUUGAAGGCGUUGGCACAGUGGUUUGCUGAAGAAUGCUAUGGGGUGGCCUCGUUGAUGAAGGACAACACCCAUAGCAUAGUUUGACGCAUUCGUUUCUAGUGCAAAAGGUAGGGUAAAAUCAGGAAGGGCCAGCACCGGUGCAGCUAUCACGGCCUUCUUCAGAUUAUCAAAGGCUGCCUAAGGCUCUUCUCCCCAUCUGAACGCGUCUUUGCAAAAAAGUUGUGUUAAUGGUGCCGCAAUGGCUGCGUAUCCUUUCACAAAGUUUCGAUAGAAUCCAGUGAGACUGAGGAAAGCACGAAGGUCCCUCGGGGAACUGGGUUUGGGCCAGUCGAGAAUGGCUUGUACCUUGGAAGGAUUUGGUUGUACACCUUCGCCGAAGACGACAUGCCCUAGAUAAUCAAGCUGACGCUGUCCAAACAAGCAUUUGGAACGCUUGAGAAAAUACUGAGCUUGAGACAGGGAGUUGAAGACGCAUUCCAAGUGGUGUAAGUGGUCUUGCAGGGUUGCACUGUAGACGAGUAUAUCGUCGAAGAACACCGCCGUGAAUUUCCUCAAGAAUGGAAUGAGCAAGGCAUUCAUUGCUGCCUGAAAUGUUGAUGGCGCAUUGCACAAACUGAAGGGCAUGACUCUAUAUUCAUAAUGCCCCUGAUGGGUCCAAAAAGCUGUUUUCGGGAUAUCUCUUUUCACCAUUAAAAUUUGAUGGAAGCCCUGUCUUAAAUCUAACUUUGAAAACCACAAAGCAUGGCCCAAUUCGUCUAAAAGUUCUUCGAUGGUUGGUAAUGGAAAGCGAUCACGAACCGUGAUGAAGUUUAAUGCCCUGUAAUCCACACACAUACGCCAAGUGCCGUAUUUCUUCUUCACUAGUAGUACCGGAGAAGAGAAGGGGCUACGGCUGGGUUGGAUCAGACCGAAGUCAAGGAGCGCCGUCACUUGUUUUUCGAUUUCAGUCUUUUGGAAGUACGGGUACCUAUAGGGUCUAACGUUGAUGGGGUUAGCUGAUGGGGUUAGCUGAUGGGAUGAGGUUGAUUUGGUGGUCAUGUUGGCGAAGAGGAAGGAGGCUUGUGGGUUGGUUGAACAGGGACUCGUAUUUGAGUAGAAGCUCAUCAAUGGCGGGGACGGGGUGGAGUGCGGUGUUUAGUAAUUCAGGUGAAGGAAUGGGUUGUAGAGAUAAGUGGAAUAGGCCCGAAGUAGAGUUAGUGGAUAUGAGGCGCUUUACCUGAUGGGCCGAAACCAAGUUGGUGUCUACCUGAACAUCUGCGCGAAGAUGAAUGGGCUUUCCAAAAAGGGUGAACUUCAUAGUAAAAGUGGUGUAGUAAGUAACAACCGGGCCCAAUGUUCUUAACCACUCAACUCCUAAAAUGACGUCGGCUCCACUUAAUGGCAAAACACGCAGCGUGACCACGAAGCUGUGAUCCUGAAUGAGUAUCUUGGUCUCAGGGAUCAUUAGCUGGCAAUCCAACACAGAACCAUUUCCCACCAUCACUCUGAGAGGUAUCGUAUCUUGCAUGGGUAAGUUGAGGAACUUCGCAACACGAGGUUGAACGAAGUUAUGAGUACUGCCGCUAUCUACUAAGAUGGUGACACAAAUGUUGUUGAUAAGGCCGUAUAAUCUGAAAGUAUCCGUGGCUGGCAUGCCAGCCAUGGCAUGGAGGCUUAUAUGUGGUUGCAAUGAGGCUGGGUCGAAGGGCUGGGUAGGUUCGUCCACUGAUGGGUCAGGUUCACUUCCAAAAGGAGACAAGGGUUCCGUGAGACUCAAUUCUGAUGGUGAUGACUCAUCGGAGUUCGCAAUGAAGAAGAGAAAUCGCCCUUUACAACGGUGGGAGGAGCUCCAUUUUUCAUCACAAUUAUAAUACAGCCCCUUUUCGCGUCUAUACGCCAUGUCUUCUUGAGUUCUCUGGACGAAUGGGGGCUUUGGUCGAGGUGUCUGCGUUGAAUGAGAGUUAGAGGAGGUAGUGUUUGGUGAUGGGUGGUUACAUGGAGUGCGGGCGUGUUUCCGACGAUCAUUGAUUUUAUCUUCCUGAAGAUGAGCAAGAGCUAUAACUUUAGGUAGAGAGAGGGGUUGGAAAGCUUGUACCUCACGGCGUAUCUCCGGGCUUAGGCCGGAGAUGAAGCAACUGAGAAGAACCGAUGGGGACAGGCCGGUGAUGCAAUUUGCGAGCUUCUCAAAUUCCGUUAAGUACUUUGUGACUGUGCCUCGUUGAGUUAGCUUGAAUAAAGCUUCGCGGGGGUCAUCGUAAAUUGAAGGAGCAAAACGGGAUUCAAUUGCUUGGAGAAGGGCCGACCACGAGGUGAUGAACCCGUUUAUGAACAUCCAUUGGAACCAACUGAGUAUGGGGCCGUCCAAGUAAAAGGAAGCUACCAUGAUACGAUCCUCUUCUGGAGUUCCCUGGUAGUCGAAAAACUGUGAGAUUUUGAAGAUCCAUCCAAGCGGAUCGUGGCCGUCAAAUCGCGGGACGUCUAGCUUGACUGGUGGUCGCGGAACUUGGGGACGUGGCGGAGCAGAAGAAGACAUGUGAGAGAGACGCUCACACAUGGCCUCAAACUUAUUAGCCAAAUCGGAGUGUUUCUCGGUGAGGGCGGCUAUGGCCUCCUCGAGGCAGUCCGUGGUGGUGCGGCGGGUUCCAUGCUCUGCCAUGGACGAGGGCAGGUCGGACCAGUUGUUGUGAGUAAAGGAGAAGAAGAUUGAGUGCCUUGUUUCGAGGUCAAGGUCCCUCCUAUUGGUUAAAGCUUUUUCUCGAAAAUAUUCUCUGGUUUUAUUCAUUUCGUGCAAGGUCUUAUAUACAGCGUUUUCCAUGCAUGCACCUCAUACGUAACUACUUACAAGCGGUUACAACAAACUAACGACCCUUUAACUAACUAACGGCCAUGCUAAGCUUAUUCACACGUAGUCAUCUAAAUGUUUGGGUCUCGGGAGGUUCCUCUUUGGCCUUUCUGCAGGUGCUCCUUCAUUCACGGUGUUUGCUGCACUGGUGGCUCUAUCACAGUAGAAGAAAGAACCAAUGUUGUACUUAAUUGACAUUUUUCACUAAGAAUAAUGUCAAUUGUGCCUUCUGAGCAGACGUCCAUUGCUUAUCAGUGCAUCAUCAUUCUUUUGCACUUCAAUAUUAGGGGUGUUUAAUCAGAAAAAAAAAGAUAAUUAGAUAUGUGGCACCAACCACCAAGUCACCAACUUUUACAUACGGUUUGAAAGGCCAAAUUGGACUCACAUACAGUUGCUGCCCUAUUUUCCUAAAAACCAAAUUGGACACCAUUGCUUUUCCAAAUAAAAAAUUAUUGGUCAAACUUGAACUGAUGAUUGGAACACUCAAUGAUAAAAAGUAAUUUAUCUAUAUUGCCAAAUAUAAAAAAAUAUUUAUUAACGUAUAGACGUAUAGUUUACCACAAACUAAUUACUUUUGUCGAACCGUUUAAUUUCCUGUAAGAAGUUAUACAAUUAAGUUUUAUAUAUUUAGAUUAAUUAAAGAAUAAACUUGCUACUAAUUCUUGCAAGAUACAUCUUUUUCAUCAAUUUUGUUUUUUUAUAAAUAAGUUUCAUUAAUUUGGCUUCUAAAACUUCAAAUUUGUAAAUUUUUAGUCCCCCUCCAUCUAUUUGAGUUUAAUAAAGUUAUUUUUUAAGGCUAAUUUAUAUCAUUAAAAAAUAUCAUUUCGUUCAAAUAACUAAGGCUUUGAUUCCUUUUAUUACCAAUGAAAAAUGGAUGUCAAGAAAGCUUUGUUCCCUUAAAAAGGUUCACCUAG